RNAcentral lists this long non-coding RNA (1899 nucleotides) under Triticum aestivum (bread wheat). RNAcentral's name for it is "long non-coding RNA (TAES_LNC011124)". Lineage: Eukaryota; Viridiplantae; Streptophyta; Magnoliopsida; Poales; Poaceae. The record is from RNAcentral.
CCAUCUUCCCACCUCUAGCGCUCCGCCACUCCUGCCACGCCCCACCGCCGGUAUCCGCCCCGCUGCCGCGCGCCGCCAACCCCGCCCCUACCACUACCCCAAGUCCCCACCCUCACAGCCUUCCACCGCCAGCGACACUCCACGCUGCGGCCAUUGCCGGCUCCCCCAGCCCCUGCUACCACGGCGCCGUCGGGAAUCCUCCCCGCCACCUGUUGGAACCGCCCGCCUGGCUCCCGCUGUGAACAUCACCGCCACCUCUCUAUCGAUUCCUGCCCCAGUGGAUGGUCUCCUCCACCUGCGCUCGCAUCCUCAGACUUUGACGAAAAACAAGCCGGCAUCCUGCAGUUCGCCGGUGUUUCGUCAGCCGGUCCUACGCUUUCAGGUAUGUAGACAAGGAGGCUUGAAAUCACGGUCUUUGUUCUCUGGCAACCUGCAGUUCAUUGGUGACAAAUUGAUUUUUGUUGCAAUGGUUGCUAAAUCCUAUGAGGGCCUACAGGUUAACUCUUGCGAUUUUCUUCUACCAAGCGUAGUAGCUAAUCUUUAAUUUGCAACUGACUUUACUUAUGGUUAUAGGAUUUGCAGUAAAAGUGACAUCAUCUAUUUGUCUACGUAUGGAAGAAAAAUCCGGAGGAAAAAUCUUUAAGGCCUGUGGCAAUCCACCGAUUUGUAUUUUAUUCCAUUCUCGUUGGCAAGUUCCCUCGAGAGAGUUGAUUAAAUUGAUCUAGCUAGCUCAGGUCCAUGUAGAUGCAUGAGCUUAUGGCCGGCAGGGAAAUUAAUUAAUUAGCGGAAUCCAUGCUUGGAUUUAGGUCAACAUUGGAUUGCUUAUCUCUGAUUUUUGUCUUCGGUGGCUGAACAGCGCAUCUCCUCCUGUCAUCGUGUUGCUCUCCGCUCUCUGUCGUCUUCUCUGAUUUUUGUUGAGCUACAUGUGCAGGUGUCUGAGGCAGGAAGGGUUAUUAGAAUCCAUGAGGAGCAGCAAGAUGCAGCAACCAUUGCCGGCCUAGCUGCUUAUAGGGACAACCACACGGUGUAUUAGUGUCUCGAUCUAAUUCAUUUAACCACACAUAUCAUCCAUGGAUUGGAGAGAGUGAGAGGCCCAAGAUAAUCCACAGGUAUAAUGGUGCAAUUCACACAAAUGAACAAGCUUAACAAGAUUGCGUGCAAGGUACUCAAAUGAUUUGAAUUUCAAGCUCUUCUUUUUUCUUGGUUACCAGUCUGCAGUAGAUGAUAAAUAUUGGUGCUCACUUUCUCCACAAUAAUCAGAUUUUUACAGAAAACUAAUAGCUGGUUUCAUUGAACAGAUCUUGCACGGUUUGCUAUUUAUCUAAUAGUUAGUUUGGUAUGUCUUUGAGAAACAGUAGGCAUUUUUACUAGAUGUAUUUUAUUUUUGUGUUUUUGAUAAUGUACACAACCAUGGCAGUUUCUUCUGGAAUAUUGUUGCUUUCACAAUAAUAAGUUUGAUAACGGUCAUAAGCAUGGCAUUCUUACUAUGAUGCAACAAUGUGCAGCUAGCUAGGUGUAGCUAAUACAAUAAGUUUGCUUUUCACUUCAGAAUUCAGAGGAACUCAGCGUUUGUUUUAUAGUUCAAACCAAUUACUUGUAUAUUCCAAAACGAUAUUGUCUCGUGGUACUAGGUUAUCAAAAUAUAAUGUUCACCAUGGCCAAAGGAAAAUUUCAUUCAGGGUAUUAGUUUGUUUCAUCCACCAAGACAAACAGCUGGUGGUAUAUGGUGAUGAGAUGGGCUUCUUCAGCUCUUUAUUUGGCAGUUCUUUUUUCGAUUCCCCUCUCUAUUGUCAUGAAAUUUCAGCAAUACAGAUUUGUGAUCUUGUCAGGUAAUCAUGCUGAUUGAGAAAGAAAUGGUACCCCAGGACUAUCUAUUGUACUAAUAUUCAGAAAAAAUGU